ACCGGCAGCUCAAGUGGUGGCCAUUUUUAUUGGGCCUAAAGCGUUCGUAGACGGUUUGAUAAGUCUCUGGUGAAAUUCAGCAGCUUAAUUGUGGGAGUUGCUGGAGAUACUAUUAGACUUGAGGUCGGGAGAGGUUAGGAGUACUCCCAGGGUAGGGGUGAAACCCUAUAAUCCUGGGAGGACCACCUGUGGCGAAGGCGCCUAACUGGAACGAACCUGACGGUGAGUAACUAAAGCCAGGGGAGCAAACCG
Molecule: ribosomal RNA, 252 nt
Filed under: uncultured prokaryote
Description: partial 16S rRNA
Rfam family: Archaeal small subunit ribosomal RNA
Source: RNAcentral